GACGAACGCUGGCGGCGUGCUUAACACAUGCAAGUCGAACGGAAAGGCCCCUUUGGGGGUACUCGAGUGGCGAACGGGUGAGUAACACGUGAGUAACCUGCCCUUGACUUCGGGAUAACUUCAGGAAACUGGGGCUAAUACCGGAUAGGAAUCCUUGCUGCAUGGUGGGGGUUGGAAAGCUUCGGCGGUUUUGGAUGGACUCGCGGCUUAUCAGCUUGUUGGUGGGGUAGUGGCUUACCAAGGCUUUGACGGGUAGCCGGCCUGAGAGGGCGACCGGCCACAUUGGGACUGAGAUACGGCCCAGGCUCCGACGGGAGGCAGCAGUGGGGAAUAUUGCACAAGGGGCGGGAGCCUGAUGCAGCAACGCCGCGGGCGGGAGGACGGCCUUCGGGUUGGAAUCCGCUUUCAGCAGGGGCGAAGCUUGUGGUGACGGUACCUGCAGAAGAAGCACCGGCUAACUACGUG
This 465-nucleotide ribosomal RNA is filed under the name uncultured bacterium. RNAcentral describes it as "partial 16S ribosomal RNA". It matches the Rfam family "Bacterial small subunit ribosomal RNA", at positions 28 to 507 of the family's 1533-position model. The record is from RNAcentral.